GCGCAGCAGGCGCGAAUCCUUCGCAAUGCGGGAAACCGCGACGAGGGGACUCCCAGUGCCUACGCUCAGCGUAGGCUGUUCCCGAGCCUAGAAAGCUCGGGGAGUAAGGGCUGGGUAAGACGGGUGCCAGCCGCCGCGGUAAUACCCGCAGCCCGAGUGGUGGCCACUAUUAUUGGGCCUAAAGCGUCCGUAGCCGGCCCGGUAAAUGCCUGGGUAAAUCGUGAGGCCUAACCUCACGAAUUCCGGGUAGACUGCCGGGCUAGGGACCGGAGGAGGGAGAGGGGUACUCCAGGGGUAGGGGUGAAAUCCUGUAAUCCCUGGAGGACCACCGGUGGCGAAGGCGCUCUCCUAGGACGGGUCCGACGGUGAGGGACGAAAGCCAGGGGAGCGAACCGGAUUAGAUACCCCCGUAGGU
RNAcentral lists this ribosomal RNA (415 nucleotides) under uncultured microorganism. Its description in RNAcentral is "bacterial SSU rRNA". It matches the Rfam family "Archaeal small subunit ribosomal RNA", at positions 330 to 746 of the family's 1478-position model. The record is from RNAcentral.